UGCCUCUCUAUGCUUCAAGCUCCUGCCUUGGGUUUCUGCCUUGGUUUCCCUCAGUGAAGGACUGUAACUUUGUCACAUUGGAAAGAUUUGAACCAGCUUGCUGCCUGUGCCCUGGACUGCUUGCCACCUGACCCUACUUGCCCUUGGAGGUUGGAGGUGAGGUGGCCUGGAAUCAAUGACACAGACUCGGGGAGCAGCCUAGUGGGAGCCGGGGUACUCUUGCCUCAAUAUUGUUGGCCCCCACCUCAGAGCAUUCCCAGUGUACUGGACUGUGCCGUUCCUCCUAUGCCAGGAGACAUAGUCAUUGCCACCUUCCUAAGAGAGCUGCAUUCACUGUGGUGCCAGAGAGGUCGCGAGAGUAACUGCCAAACAGACACUCCUGUGUUUCAGUCCCAGAAGUGUGGCUGGGAAUCCGGAGAUCUUCAAGAAGUUAUUUAACUUUUUUAAACCUUAAAUUUUGUAUGUGCAUGACAGUGCAGUGCCCACAGGGGCCAGAUGAGGACAUCAGAUGCCCUAGAACUAGAAUCACAGAUGUUUGUUAACUGCUCAGCAUGAGUGCUGGGAACCAAACUCUGGUCCCGUGCAAGAAUA
Molecule: long non-coding RNA, 591 nt
Filed under: Mus pahari (shrew mouse)
Lineage: Eukaryota; Metazoa; Chordata; Mammalia; Rodentia; Muridae
Description: predicted gene 42953 (MGP_PahariEiJ_G0005349.1)
Source: RNAcentral